This 437-nucleotide ribosomal RNA is filed under the name uncultured bacterium. RNAcentral describes it as "bacterial SSU rRNA". It matches the Rfam family "Bacterial small subunit ribosomal RNA", at positions 29 to 498 of the family's 1533-position model. The record is from RNAcentral.
AACGAACGCUGGCGGCAUGCCUAACACAUGCAAGUCGAACGAGACCGCUGACUUCGGUUGGCGGUUCUAGUGGCGCACGGGUGCGUAACGCGUGGGAAUCUACCCUUGGGUUCGGAAUAACAGUUAGAAAUGACUGCUAAUACCGGAUAAUGACGUAAGUCCAAAGAUUUAUCGCCCAAGGAUGAGCCCGCGUAGGAUUAGCUAGUUGGUGGGGUAAAGGCCCACCAAGGCGACGAUCCUUAGCUGGUCUGAGAGGAUGAUCAGCCACACUGGGACUGAGACACGGCCCAGACUCCUACGGGAGGCAGCAGUGGGGAAUAUUGGACAAUGGGCGAAAGCCUGAUCCAGCAAUGCCGCGUGAGUGAUGAAGGCCUUAGGGUUGUAAAGCUCUUUUACCCGGGAUGANAAUGACAGUACCGGGAGAAUAAGCUCCGGCU